This 680-nucleotide ribosomal RNA is filed under the name Bacillus sp. (in: firmicutes). RNAcentral's name for it is "bacterial SSU rRNA". It matches the Rfam family "Bacterial small subunit ribosomal RNA", at positions 58 to 721 of the family's 1533-position model. The record is from RNAcentral. Lineage: Bacteria; Bacillati; Bacillota; Bacilli; Caryophanales; Bacillaceae.
CAAGUCGAGCGAAUGAUAGGGAGCUUGCUCCCUUGAUUUAGCGGCGGACGGGUGAGUAACACGUGGGCAACCUACCUGUAAGACUGGGAUAACUUCGGGAAACCGGAGCUAAUACCGGAUAAUUUCUUUUCUCGCAUGAGAAGAGAUGGAAAGACGGUUUCGGCUGUCACUUACAGAUGGGCCCGCGGCGCAUUAGCUAGUUGGUGAGGUAAUGGCUCACCAAGGCCACGAUGCGUAGCCGACCUGAGAGGGUGAUCGGCCACACUGGGACUGAGACACGGCCCAGACUCCUACGGGAGGCAGCAGUAGGGAAUCUUCCGCAAUGGACGAAAGUCUGACGGAGCAACGCCGCGUGAACGAAGAAGGCCUUCGGGUCGUAAAGUUCUGUUGUUAGGGAAGAACAAGUACCAGAGUAACUGCUGGUACCUUGACGGUACCUAACCAGAAAGCCACGGCUAACUACGUGCCAGCAGCCGCGGUAAUACGUAGGUGGCAAGCGUUGUCCGGAAUUAUUGGGCGUAAAGCGCGCGCAGGUGGUUCCUUAAGUCUGAUGUGAAAGCCCACGGCUCAACCGUGGAGGGUCAUUGGAAACUGGGGAACUUGAGUGCAGAAGAGGAAAGUGGAAUUCCAAGUGUAGCGGUGAAAUGCGUAGAGAUUUGGAGGAACACCAGUGGCGAAGG